Long non-coding RNA from Triticum aestivum (bread wheat), 6389 nucleotides. RefSeq lists it as uncharacterized. NCBI's taxonomy places the organism in Eukaryota, Viridiplantae, Streptophyta, Magnoliopsida, Poales, Poaceae. The transcript has 3 exons. The record is from RefSeq and is a predicted model, not a curated record.
CGAGGAGUCAAGGCAGGGGCCGGAUCCUAUUCAGGGGACGGCAUGGAGGCGAUCUACGAGGCGGAGGAGGAGGUGAGGAGGCGGGGUUUGAACUCCGAGUUCAUGGCGGCGGCGUUCCUUGCCGGUUCCGACCGAGAUGGGGAGCUCCGGCGGAGUCUCUCCACAUGGCGGUUUUAUAAAAUCAUCCCUGUUGUUUUAGGUAAUUAACCCGCGGUACUAAUUUAAGUGGUCAGCAGUGAAAAAACAUUUUGUUUGUGAGCUUGGCUGAUGCACAGGGGAGGAGAUUUGUAAAAAGAAAUAGACCAGCACGGGCUCUCGUCCACGAUACCUACAGGCACGGUGCCGCCGCCGCCGCCCCCACGUGCGGUCGCGCGGCCAAUGUUCUUCCCCGACCCAUUGCAAUUCUGUCUCCUUCCCUUCUCCAUCUGCACCAAUCUUCUCCUGCGCCACCCUGAGCCUUCUUGGGCUCCAACCUCCUGCAAUCUUCAAGCCCGCCGGCACCCAAUCCGCCUACAAUCUUCAAGCCCGCCGGCACCAAAAGCAACCAGCGGUCGAUUCGACUGAUCCCCACUAGGAAUCCAUGGGAUUUGAGGUGGAUUUCCUAGGAGAGCGAGUAGGAAGGGUGAUGGUGGGGUUCAUGCGGAAGAUGAAGAAGCUGAAGGUGAUCCACGGCCCGCGAAGCCGAGCCACCACGGGCCUCUUCCCCUGCCGUUCCGCCGCCAUGCCGGGACGGCGUACUGGGCCUUGCCGGACGCCGAGGACAAGCGAGUCAAGGGCGGUGUGUGUGCCUAAAACUCUUUUCUCGCUGUACAAUUUCUCCAUAUCGAUUCUUCCAUACGGUGUGGGCUGCCUCGGCGUAGACGGUGACUGGCUCGAGUCCGCAGGACAAGCACAGAGUGACCAGCGGCGAUAACUAUGCUCGGGCAGAUAGAUUCCGCCGCGGCGGAGUUCGAGAUACGAACAGGAGAAUAGUAGCUGUGAUGACUCAACAAGAUGGAAGUGUGGGAGUGGGACAAGGGAUGAGUGCAAUCGGCUCAGGUAAGCUCCUCAUGUACACCGUCAGGCAUCAGUUCUAGUCGCGCCCGAAGCUUCCAAUCUCGCCGCUCCACUUAGUUUGCCGAAACAUUGUCGGCAUGUGCUCCAUCCAAGGUACGCCAUCGUCCAAUUCUAUCAUCAGUUUUGAACUUUGAACUAAUGACUAAUGGGUCGGAGUUGCCAGGGCUGAAAGUUCAAGGAAGAUUCAGCUUACAUCUGAAUUCCUUUGUAUUGCCUACAAUGUUAUAGCUUAAAUUCUGCUAAUAAAUUUCUAUCAAUGAUGUUCCAAACAAUUUCUUAGAGAUGGGUUGUGCACAAGGGUGCACAUUGUAGAUCUGUUAACUUAAGAUUUGAAUAAUGAGAUAUGUUCAUAUGCUUUGCUCACUAUUAUUCCUAAUUUACUCUGGACAUAAAGACCAAAGUUUAUUGCUUUUGUUCAGUCGAAUGCUACUUGAUCAGUACUUAACCAAGAUUGGCAGCCAUUAUAGCUGGUGUUGAACUCAGCUAUACACACUGAAUGUUACAAUAUGCCAGAAUAAACACAUUAGAAUCUUUUUAUUUAUAUUCAUACUAUUUUCUCAAGAUUGCUCUGCCGUUGCUAAUUUUGAUGUUCUGCUAUACUAGUAUUGCAUAUAGAGAGAGAUCAGAGAGGAGAGCAGCAGCCCGCUGCUGCAAUUUUGUUCAUGCUGCUACUUGGUUACUACACAUCUAUACAGAGAACACAGAGAAGGCUGCUGCUUGCUGAUUACAAUUGCUUCAUGUUAUGUGCAUAUCCUUAUGUAUGCUGCUGCUAGGUACCCAUGAUCAUGGUGACAAGGAAUCGAUACUGCAACGGUAGGGAUCUGGUGGCCAUCGAGUGGCAGCCGCUACGUACAUACGUAACUCCAACGAGUCAUGGUGAGGAGACUUUGAUCUUUAUAUGUUAGAUUCAGUGGCGAAUCUAGCAGGACAUUGAAGGGUAGGCUUAAAACAGUCUAAUUAGCAAAUGCAUUGCAAUUAUUGCAUGUAAACCACCAGAAUAUACUGCUCAAGUAGUAUGUUUAGCUUAAAUAGGAUUUUGAAGGGUAGGCUUAAGCCUAUUGAAGCCUCCUUAGUGGAAUCACCACUGGUUAGAUUCAUAGUGGAUAUACGUUACUACAUGUAGGCCCCAUACGCCAAACGAGUUCCUCCAUUAGUUUAUGUUAGCUUGUGAGCUUUCUUCAUCUCCACUGUACACAGAUUGGUCAUGCAUGAUGCAUCCAUGGCUUAGGAUAAAAAAUGAUCGUUUCCAUCCAAAUGUUAUUCAUUUAUUAUUAUUUUCCAAAUCAAUUGAGGAGAACAUAUAAAGAAAAAAUAAUUACUCGUCUGUUUUAAGAGACGAAAUAAAGCGAAAAAGAAAUUUCUCUGAAGGAUCUCUAGGGAGAUUUUGCACAUGAAGUUAAGGUUUGGUACAUUCAAUCUCCAAAAGAUAUGGUGAGAUAUCUGAAUUAUGUUUUGUCUUCACAGACUAAUAUGACACUUUACUUGGCUAUUUUACCAAUUUGUUGUUGUAGCUAAUAGUGUUGAUGUAUAUCCCAUUGUAGAGCAUUCAUUUGUAAAUAAUGAUUCUAAGACCUUUGUUUGUGUUCCUGUCGUUAUCAUUAAGCUUGCCUCAUAUAAUUGUUAGCACUGCAAUCAGAUAGAAUAUUAAAUAUUUGUUGCGAUCAGAAUCAUUUGCAAUGAUGUCUGAUUCGAUUUAUCUACCAAAGUUUACCAGCCAGAUUGCACAUGUACUCAAGUUUACUAGCCAUACCUACCAAAGUUUUCUUGGUUGACUGAUUGACCAUAUUUAUUAGCUGCCCACCUAAAUUUAUAGUGCCUUAGGACAUCAUCAACUUACAGUAAAAAUAAUGCAAUGGGCUUAUAUUAUCCUUCGAGUGAUCAUAGAUGUUCAAAAUGAUAUUUGUUACCACCAUGAGUAGUACUCUGCAAAGCAUAUACGACAUCUGUUUACUGCAGUAUUUUGCAACCAAAGCCCCUAUCUAUAUCAUUCUAGCGCUUCUCAAAAAAAUGUUGGAGAUAAAUAUCAGAAAAGGUUAAUACCCAAAAGCCCUUUUGUUAUCUCGAACUUUUCAGUCUUCAUCUUCUCUGGUGGCUUCACAUUAAAAAAGUAUUAUUUGGUGGCUUUGUAAGAUUUUCCUUUAUGCAAAUUAGAUUGCUUAAUAGCAUUCAUAUUUCAAAUUCAUUGAUAUGAAUAAGCAUGUAUAGAACACGAAAUGUAGUUGAUACACACGAGCCAUACAACGUUAGAUAUGAUUCUUACCUAAAUCCAAGGAAUGACUGUUAAGUUAUUCAUGAUCUGGAAUGUUAUCCAUGUGAAUGUUUAUUUUCCAAUCUGCUGUAAAGCUAGGAAAUUGGUUGGCAAUAGUUUUUCUGUCAAGGUUCUUCUGUUUAGAUUCUAACUGAUAUGUAAGGGGAUACCGAUGAAUCAAAUAUUUAGAUUUUUUAUUUUUUUGAGAUUUUGAACUUCAGGGGUGGGGGUGUCUUCAGUCAUGCUUAUUGGAUUAGGAUCUAGGACCGUGAGCUAUAUUUCCCUAAUAAUCCCUAAUAAUGAAGCACGGAUUGACUCCCGUCGGGUUCACCGUCGUGACAUAUUUAUGCUAAACCCCCUAUAUUUUUACUGUAAUCAACCCGCAGUCCUAUUGUUCCAGUUAACCCGAAUCGGCAUGGGCGAGAAAAAAAGCCCGACCCGGAAGCCCACGACCUUACCUCCCAAUCCCAUCUCUACCAACAGUGUGUCGCCGUCGCGCGCCGCCACCACCGGCCCUCGCCCCUCCGCCGUGCACCGCCACUGCCGGCCAACACCGCGCGUCCACCCCUACCCGACGUGCCUUCAUCCCUGCGGUUUUCCACCACCGGCGACAAUCAAAGCCGGCUCCGCACCUUCCCCAACUCAUCUUUCCCCUCCUCUGCCGCUGCCGCUCUCCAUCGGCCGACCAACGCCCUCGAGUCAGCGCCGACUCCUCCAUCCGGUUCCUGCUCGAUCUCCUCCAGGUCCAGAUCAUCCACAAUCUCAAGCGACGGGAGAGGAGCCUCUGCGUGCUUCUUGUCGGACGACAGCGCAGCCGUGCGCCCCUGACGCCGCUCUUGCACGUGAGGAGAUGCUACAUGCGGCUCGGCCGCUCCAACCCUAGGGUCGACGCCGUGGUCAUCGUCAAGAUCCCCUUCUCCUCUGUCGGUCAUCUUCUCCUCCCCGGCAGACGUCGUCGCCUUCGAGGACGAGGACGAUGGUGGUGGUUGCGCACUUCGCGUUGGUGGAUUACACCACUACCCCCAGGUUGGGAUUGGUGCGCGGGCGUCGACAUCUGCGUGCCCGAGAUCAUCGGAGCUGCAUCAGGCUAGCGCACAUCCUCCGCUACACCCCGACGCUAGAUGUAUCGACCUCAUCCCCUUGCCGCAGGAGAUAAAGGGCCGCCUGGACUGGGAUACUAGCGAGAUGGAGGGCAACUUCAGCACCAACUAGAGAGCAAAGGAGGUGGUCGUGCUCUACAUGAUGUCCGACGACCUUAACGGCCAGUUCUUCGCCGAGAAAAUGGGCUACCACGAGAUGGUCCUGCUCCGCCCCCAGGGCGCCGCUGAGGUGGUCGUUCAUUGGCGUGGGCUACCGACUUUGAUAAUAAUGAGAUUUCAUCCCCUGCGUCAGCUCAUCGGCGGAGUUCUUCUCUACAGGUAGCAGAAAAUCAUGCAGCACACACGUUCAAUUAGCCACCUACUUAUGCUUGCAUAUCUUUCUACGGAGUACUGCGCAUCCUGAUUUGCGUCUACUUGAGGAGCUGAUGCACAGAUCAUGUCGAUUUGGUCACCAUUGAGUAGUUGGAGAGCUACCUUAAGACACACGAUGUACCAAUGGUAGUCAUAUAUAUCUCAUGACAGGGCUUUCCUAGAUCAGUGUUGUAUAAAGAUAUGGCCACUGAAUUUGGCGUGUCUGCCUCUUUGUUUUCCGAAUAAUGUGAGAACUUCUAGCCUUCUAGAACAAGCAUAGUAGCUUAUUUAACUUUGUCUAAUAAAUAUCCUAUAUGGUCAAUCUAGGAUGAAAGUGUAUUUAUUACUCCCUCCGUCCCAUAAUGUAAGACGUUUUUUGAUACUACACUAGUAUCGUGUAGUAUCAAAAAACGUCUUGCAUUAUGGGACGGAGGGAAUAACUUGGAUAAUCUAGGUUGCAGACUUGCAGUGUAUCUUUGGUGUCUCUUUCACUUUUAGUAUCUAUCACAUUGAUAUUGGCAGCUCUCCAUUGUAAUCUGUCUGUACUACUUUUACCUUUUUUUGCUUCUGACCUAUUGCUCUGCUCCAGACCACAACUCUUGAAUUGGACUUUUCAAACAUUUGACAAACAUUAAGGAAUUCAUUCUUUGCAUCUCAAGAUGAUCCGGUACAGAAAUUUUCUGUCUCUGCGGUACAAUGAUCUUAAUAGAUCAGUAACCUAUAUGAGAAACAAUAUGCUUGUUAUUUUGAUUAUCAUGAUGAUCGUCACUUUGUCAGGUACCAAUGUAUCUUAUGAACGUUGUAUGUUUGUUAUUUUGUUAGUAUUUUAUAUAUUCUUGAACUUUAUUAUUCCUGACUACGAUACAUAUAAAUUCACUAGGUACAAAAAUAGUAGUCUUGAAAAUUUUGAGCACGUUGUUGCCUGGGUUGAUGAUUAGCUGAACAACUUUGUUGCCGCUGCUUUAAACUGUGCCAUUGACCUCCCUCGGGGACUGUGAUCCCACGACGCCGUGACUGGCCGCCGCCGAAUCCAUCGCCGGGGUCGUGAUCCUCGCAUCCCGUCUCCCCCUUGUCGGAGCACCUUCGACGGGGCCGUGAUCCCCGCCACCAGCCUCCCCCUUGCUAGAGCUCCUUUGACGGAUCUGUGAUCCCCGCCACCGGUCGCUGCCUCCCCGGAGCUCCACAAGAAUCUGGAGCACCGCCGUCUCCCCAAGCUCCUUGCCUGCAUCAAUGAAUCCGCUCUCCAAGAUUACGCCAGUACGCCGCCGACGAGAGGAAGAUGUUAGAUGCAAGAACAUGCCACUUCAGGUGAUGUGUGCUUCCCACACGAAUUUUCCUCAAAAUUCAAUCUGCCUGAUUGCUUCCGAAGCACAAACGAUCAGUUCAAAAAAUGUAUUCAGAUCUGGGUUUGCCUGAAGAAAAAUACCACGUUUGUGUCAGUUCAUCAGUCUUACUACGCUAAAAUUUGAUUUAAAAAUUGCACACACUAUGCUCUUUAUAUAUGUUACACUAUUAAGUUCAUUAGUACAGCGUGUACUACAUCAGUAGCACAUGUCCUAUGAUACAGAAGCUGAUUGUACAUUGCAAAAUGCUUGCAUCAGUUCAUUACAUCCCUGCCACUUGACACACAAUUU